AUUGAACGCUGGCGGAAUGCUUUACACAUGCAAGUCGAACGGUAGAGGGGGCAACCCCUUGAGAGUGGCGAACGGGUGAGUAAUGUAUCGGAACGUGCCCAGUCGUGGGGGAUAACGUAGUGAAAAUUACGCUAAUACCGCAUACGAUCUAUGGAUGAAAGCGGGGGAUCGCAAGACCUCGCGCGAUUGGAGCGGCCGAUAUCAGAUUAGGUAGUUGGUGGGGUAAAGGCUCACCAAGCCAACGAUCUGUAGCUGGUCUGAGAGGACGACCAGCCACACUGGAACUGAGACACGGUCCAGACUCCUACGGGAGGCAGCAGUGGGGAAUUUUGGACAAUGGACGCAAGUCUGAUCCAGCCAUUCCGCGUGCAGGACGAAGGCCUUCGGGUUGUAAACUGCUUUUGUACGGAACGAAAAAGCUCUUAUUAAUACUAGGAGUCCAUGACGGUACCGUAAGAAUAAGCACCGGCUAACUACGUGCCAGCAGCCGCGGUAAUACGUAGGGUGCAAGCGUUAAUCGGAAUUACUGGGCGUAAAGCGUGCGCAGGCGGUUAUAUAAGACAGAUGUGAAAUCCCCGAGCUUAACUUGGGAACUGCAUUUGUGACUGUAUAGCUAGAGUACGGCAGAGGGGGAUGGAAUUCCGCGUGUAGCAGUGAAAUGCGUAGAUAUGCGGAGGAACACCGAUGGCGAAGGCAGUCCCCUGGGCC
This 708-nucleotide ribosomal RNA is filed under the name Pseudomonadota bacterium. RNAcentral's name for it is "bacterial SSU rRNA". It matches the Rfam family "Bacterial small subunit ribosomal RNA", at positions 28 to 735 of the family's 1533-position model. Lineage: Bacteria; Pseudomonadati; Pseudomonadota. The record is from RNAcentral.